GCUUGCCCUGGACAUUGACAGAGAGGCUGACGACCACAACAAGUACCUGGAUGGAAUGGUGAGACUAAGCCGAGUAAUACAUGUCCAUUCUCUCAUGUAUUUGGCAUUAUUCUAGGGAUGGAAUUCUAUAGAUUAGAAAACAUACGGGUUUCUAGGUGUGUUUGAUCUCUAGCUGCUCUUAUCCUCUGCAAGAUAUAGAGCAUGGCAAAUGGUAGUUCUUCAGCUGUUUGUAACUACAACUCCCAUGAUUCUUUGUAAACCAGCU
Molecule: non-coding RNA, 265 nt
Organism: Pelobates cultripes (western spadefoot toad)
Lineage: Eukaryota; Metazoa; Chordata; Amphibia; Anura; Pelobatidae
Source: the annotation of a GenBank genome assembly